UCAAACUGCACUUCAUGAGGAGAAAACUGAAGAAUCAGUGAAGGAUCAAGAAGCUACAACAGAUGAAGUAGUUGCCGAAGCUCCUGCAGCGGAAGCAGCUGCCGAAGAGCCAAAGGAAGCGGAGCCUGCGGCGGUGGCAGUCGAGGAACCUGAAGCCUCGGUUGAAGUUGAAACCAAGGAGGUGGUAGAAGAACCAAAGGCUGUUACUGAGGAGCCAGUAGUAGAGGAGACUCCUAAGGAAACAGUGCCAGAACCAGUUGCCGAGGAGAUCAAGGAAACCACUGAACAAACCGUUGAAACCAAAGAAACUACAGAGUCUAGUGAGGCAGCAGCAGAAGCACCCAAAGAAGAAGUUGAGAAGGAAGAAGAAGCAAAACCGGCUGAAGUGGAGGAGAAAGUUGAAACAGAAACUGAUCCAGCAGAGAAGACUGAGUAAAUAAUAAAGCUUUUGUGAUGAAAAUGAGGGUGUCAAUGGAAGAUUGUUUCAAGUGGCUACAGUUUGAUAAGUUUGCAUGUCAAUUCAACUAGUUUUCUUCUAUGUAGGUCAAUAAGGAUGUGGUAAUGUGGCUGAUGGAGGCCCACCGAUAGUAGUCUUGCAAUGGCUAAGUUAACAUGCAUUUGCAUAUGUCAAAGAGUGACAUACUUCAUGUUCCAUUGUGGGGGAAUUUUUAUGGGUCAUCUGUUAUCUGUAAAGGGAUGGGUUUCUUGGGUCCCAAACCACCUUUCUUUGCUUAUGUUUAUUGUUUUGCUUGUAUGGUUAUUAGGAGAGGCAGUAUCAAGUAUGCAUGUUGUCUUGGUUAUAAUAAAUCUUAGUCCUUUUGUUUAACAUUUGUUCAAUGUCCAAUUUCUUCCUAUUGCUCCAAUAUACCCAAAACCCGAGACUGCUUUUUCUUUUAAAAUAAUUUAAUUUAAUGCAAUUUCUUUUCCUCACACUCUUUCAAAUUAGCCUACAUUGUCCAUUUUCACAUAAAUGCAUUGUUUUGAGACCUAGGAUCUGUUUUGAAAAACACAUUAAAGUCUAAUUAUUAAGACUAAUUAAUUAUAAAGAAUUGUAAUUAUUUAGAUGUGUUUGGCUAACAAAAUAUAAUUAUAUUGUAAUUCAUGUAAUUUUUUAUGUCAUGUUUGACAGUACAAAUUGUAAUUAUAUAGUUAUAUAAUUUAUAUUUUUUGUAAAAUAUUAUUAGCGUGAUAAUUUUUUUCCAAACAAGUAAUAAAAAUAAAAAUUAAAUUAUCAUAUGUAUUAUGUUAGUCCAAAAAUGUAGUUGAUAAUACGAUUACUAAUAAAAAUAACAAGGAAAAUAAACAUUAUAUGUAAUUUUAUCUAAUUGUUCUAGUGCUCCAUAUUUGUUGAUUUUUUUAUAGUAUUAAGUAAUUGCAAUCACUCCACAUAUGUUGUGCUUGCGUUGUGACCAAGUCAAUUAUUAACGUGUCAUAAUGUUUUAUUGAUGUUGAGGCUAAAGCCUUUGUUUUGUUGAUGGAGCUUGUGCUUCACCAUCUAUGACGAGUACUUACUAUUUUUUCUCUCUGAAUUGUAUAAUUCUAUUCAUUGAAUAAAUUAAUGAAUUUACCUUUCGAUUUUAUUUUGUGAUUUAUUUUUAAUUAUGAGAACUAUGCUACGAUAAUAUCCUGUUAGAUGUAUUUUAAGACAUAUUAUUAUGUGGUUUACUAUAUUAAGACAUUUAGAAAAUUUUCAGUAUGAAUAAAUUUUAUUUAUAACAUUAUUAGUUUAUUAUAUUCUUUUAAUUUUUUUGAAAUUUUUUUUUAUAUCUAGUGGAAUCAAAUCAACAAGCCUUUUAAUUCAUUAUAAAAUUAGGAUUUGUUUGAAACAUUUUUAUUCUUUUUUAGAUUUAACCACCUUCAAUUUUGGAAGAAAGAAUAAUAAGGGUAACUAAGACUUACUAACUACAAACUUGAUUUAGCAAUUAUAUUUGUAUGAAAUACUAAUUAUUUUUUAUAGAAUAUGGAUAGAAUUGUUCAUUUAAGCUAUAUAGGAAUUGCAGGUUAGACUAUUUAUAGUUUACAUUCAUAUAAUUUAAUUAUUUAUAGUUUUGCUUAAAGCAAUACCUGAAAUUAACUUUUUUUUUUAAUAUUCCUAUAGAUUAGUCUUUAGUAAAAACAAAACAUGAUUUCAAGUAUUUUUUAAAUUUAUUCUAAAACAAGUUUUAUAUAUACGUAAUUUUUAUAUAUGUAUUGUUAUAUUUAAAAAAUAUAUGUAAGACAAAUUUGAAACAAUUUUGUUUUCAAUUAAAACUAUAAUUUAAAAAUUAUCAAUUAAAUUUUAUUAUUAAAUAUUUAAUUCAAAUAUUUGUUUAGAAUAAAGCUUAUUACAAAAAUUAAAUACAUGAAUAUUAACUUUUAUUUAAUAAGGGUAAAUUUGUAAAUUAUCAUUAUAUUCACAGUAAAAAAAUUUAGUGAACCAAAUAUGAUAAUGUAAAACUCCUAGAAUUUUAAUUAGUACCUUCCGAUGUAUAUCAAAUAUUGUAAAGUAAUUUUAUCGACAAUCAUAUUCUAUGAAUUAUAUUCAAUUACAAUCAUACCAUGGAAAGCACCAAACGCUACCUUAAAUGUUGCAAUAUUAAUGACAAAACUUCUAUGAUCGUAAAGGAUAUUAUUAAAAUUAAAAUAAGUUAUGGAUAUGAUUAUACCAGUAUUAAUGCAUCGAAUUCCAUCAGAAUUCCACAAUUAAGUGUACUUGGAUGAGAGUAGUAUUAGGAUGAGUAACCUUUCGAUAAUCAUAAAAAAAAUUAAAAUAAAUUGUAUAGAUGUAAAAGAUUUAGAGAUGAACUGAAAGUAUUAUGAACGAAGUAUCUAAAACUGGUUGGUGAAUAAUCUACGAACUACGAAUGUUGCUGUUGAGGAAAUUGUAAGGUACCGAUAAGUUUGCUUUUACUGGAUUCUAUUUCGCAGGUAAUGAAUGAUAGUAUUAUUUUAAGGGUUUCUGAGUUUGUAUAUGGUCUGAAACAAAUUUAAUGGUAACUGGUAGUGUAUAAGGUAAUUCAUAUGUAAUCAGUCUAUUGUGUCAUAAUAAAUGUUUUUUAUAUAAUUCUUAACAAUGAUGUAAAUAUAUUUAAUUUAAGUAAAGCAUGUUGUCACUAAAACUUGAAUUCUUGAUUCUAUGAUUUGAUUUACAAUUGUUGAUAUAUGUUAUCGAUAAGAAAAGAUUUGGCUGAGGUGAAUGGCUUUCACUCUUAAAGAGCGGAGAGACGGUGUGAUGAAGUCGAAGAAAAAAACUUUAGGGAGAGUGAUAGAGAGAAGUAUUGGUUGAAUAAAAGUGUGUGUAGGAUUCAUGUCCGCUAUUCAAGUGAGUAUGCUUAUAUAUGAAAUGUUAGGGAUGCCAUGUGUAAAUGUUAUGUUGGCGGUAGGGUCACCUUCUAUGUCCUUAUAAAGAUAAUGAUGUGACCCUAUAGAAAAUAAUUUACAUAAAUUACUGAGAAUUAUUGCUAUCAUGACUUUAUACUAAAAUUUAAUAUUUGUUUUGACUUAAUGUGACAUUAUAUUUCUUGAAUGUAUGAUUUUUUUAAUAUUUUUAAAAAUAUAAUUUAAUUUACUAUAAUUUAAGGAUAAUUAAUUUAUUUUAUGUAAAAAAUUUCAAUUUUUUAUAUACUAAAUAAUCAUCCUUAAUUUAAUUUAAUUUAAUGAUAAAUAAAGUUUUUGAUUUGUUAUAUGUUUUAAAUAUUUCUAGCAUCGUACUAAUUAAAUAUAUAGAAUUGUAUUUGAAAAUUGGUUUACAAAAACUAUAACAUUCAAACAAAAUAUAAUUUGAGUUAACAUUUAUGAAUAAUAACAUUCAAACAUAUGAAAUAGUUUACUAAUUUUUUGUUGUACAAAAUAUUUUUACAACAUAAUUGUAUAAUAGUAAUGCAAAAACUAUAACAUUCAAACAGAUGUUUAAUAAUAAAUGAAAUAUUUGGGGAUAACCUACAAUGAUUUCUCUUUGAAUGUAAGUGUUGCAAUUGUAAUGACAAAACUUUUAUGAUCAUAAGAGGUAUUAUUAAAAUUAAAGUAAACUAUAUAGAGUUAAAAGGUUUAGAAAUGAAUUGAAAGCAUUGUGUACGAACUAUCUAAAAUUAGUUGGUGGAUAAUUUAUGUACUUUGAAGUAUUAAAUAGAUUUUUUAAUAGAUUUUUUUGAUAAAAUUGUCAUGAUUUUAAUGGAAUUAAAAUUGGGUUAAGACAUUGGAAAAUUAAUUUAUGAUGUUUAUUUUGGGAAAUAGAAAAAUAUGUAUUAGAUUGAAUUAAAUUAUAAAGUGGGGUUAAAAGUCCAGGAAGCACAUAUGCCCAAAUCCCCAUCAUAAUAUAUAUGAGGGGAAGCACACAUUAUUAGCCCCCUCUCUCUUAGUUCGACUAGGAUUUUUUUUCUAUUGAAAUAAACUUAUACUAAAUCAACAAGGGUUUCACUUCUUCUCCCUAUAAAUAGAUGACACCGGUAGGGCUAAACAUACAACUUUGAUAUACUGUUAUUUUGCCUGAAAAUAGUGAGAGUUUAUUCUCUAAGUAUUAAUUCUACUUUUCGAAAUAACAAUUCUACCAGUUUCUAUUUAGAGAGAAUUUUGCUUUACUUUGAAAGUAAAAUAAACAAUAUUUGGUUCUGUGUUUGAUGCGGAUUUGUUUAAGCCCACACUUGAAGCAGUUUGUGGUACGAGAAUAGUGGAGAAGGUCGUUCGGUUAAAAGUUAGGAACGAUAAGGAUCUGUUUAGUCGAAAACACAAGUGCAAUUUCGGUAAAGGAUUUACUGCUAUAAAUAUCACAUAUCGACUCGAUUUUCAAAAUUUUUAUUUUUCGCUGUACAAGAAAAUCAUUUUCUAACUUGAUUUUUCUAAUAUUUGGUAUCAGAGCUAGGUUGUGCUAUGUUUAUAGUAUAAAUCGAUACAAAAUCUUUUCUCUCUUCUUCAUGUGUGAUUAUUUUUGAUAAGAUGUAAAAUUCUGAUAAUUAUAUAUAUGUUUAGGGUAAUGUAUGCAAAUGAAUGUAUGUUAUUAUUUUAUUAUUAUGUAUGAUCAAGUAAUUUUCUCAAAGUUGUGAUUCCUAGAAAAUUAAAUAUAAUUUUAUUAAUUUCUCGGGUAUGUAUAAAUUAGAUUGUGGACUAUCAUCUCCAUGCAGGGUUUAAUUUUAUUAUUUUAGAAUAAAUAAUGUGAGUCAGAAACAAACAUAGGAUUUAUGUAACCUAUAUUUUUUGACGAAACUCAGAGAACCAAGACACAUCGAGGCCAAUCAAGACAACAUAAACUCAAACCAACCAAAUUGACAAUAGACUGAUGGUGGUCAGAUAGUUGGAGGCUACCGGUGGUCCGACGGUGAUGUUCAAUAGCAAGGGCUAGCGGUAGAGACUGAUGGCGAUGGUCUAUGAUAGUGGUUGGUGGCUAUCGGUAGUGGCUGAUUAUGGUGGUCUAGCAGUGGCCGACGACAGUGGUUGGUGGUGGUACAAUGAUAACUCGUGACAAUUCGGCGAUGGCGGUGACACGUAAACGAUGACAGAAUGACAACGACGAUAAUAACGUGAACCGGUACCGUAGCAAAAGUCCAUGGUGUCAAAAUAGAAUACCCUAAAUAUGCUUUGGGGUGAAUUUUAUAAUUUUUUUUUACUUUUCUAGAAUAGAAUCAUGGAAAAUUUAGCUGGUUAGGGUCAUUUAAAUUUGUAUGCUUUUAUAUGUGUUAGCAUGAUGAUAUUUAUUUGACUGCGAAUAUAUGUUUAUGCAUAUGUAUGAUAAGCAUGCCAUAUAGUUUAAGGCAAUAAUGCCACAUGUACUUGUCAUGUAUACAUUGAUCAUUCAUGUUUGAAACCGAACAUUAAAAAUCUUACAUGUUUUUAAAAGAUUAAGUGGGAGAAGAUCCCUAAACAAGACCUACAGUCUCCAUCAAUGGUCUAUUGUGAUUGCAUAACAAUUUAACUACUUACAGUAGGAUUGUCAUAUGGACUUCACUGAAGAGAUUUCUUGAAAGUAAGUAGAACUGUCUUGUAAUCAUAUGAUAGUUGGAUCGACCUUGUUAUAGGUAUUAUCAUGCGAUAUGACAAGAAAUUCUUUCUUCAAAGAGGAAUACUAGUCAUAGCAUGUUACUCGGUAAGAUUAUCCUAUGAUGACACAUUUGUGGUACAUGAUGCGAUGGGUGUUAAGUUGAUAGUUACACACUUAAGCUCUUCUAGUCAAGUAACUUCCCACAAUGCUUUACUUAAGUUAGAAUAAUGACCAAACAUUAAAUAAUUAUUAGUGUAUGUGAAUGCUUAAGGAAUUACAUUCAUGUACUGAUUGAAUGAAAAUCCAUGUUCUUAAUAGUUGAUUAUGAUCACCCCAUGGUGACUUGAUUCAAUAGGUGUAAGAAUUAUUGUUGCAACGACUUAUAAAUGUUUUCAAGGUUUAAUGUAAGACGCAUGCAUCAUUUUAAUGCAUAUCAUAAUGUUGCAAAACAUUUUCAAAUAUUUUCUUAAUACAAAGAUAUUAAUGAAUGGAUGUUUUAAUUUUAGUUUGAAAAUAGAACCUAUUCCUUUAUUAAAUAUACUCACAGAAAAUAAACUAAUUGAAAAUAACUGUAAGGAAUGGAAAAGGAACCUGAUGAUUGUUCUAAGUUGUGAGAAACUAAAGACAGUCCUUGAUAAUAAAUGCCUACUGGCCACUCAAGAUGAGGCUAGAAAACAUUGGGAGGAGUCUGAUGAGAUAACUCGUUGCUAUAGACUAGUAAGCGUGACCAACACCCUUUAUAAACAACUGAAGAGUUGUAAGACUGCAAAAGUAAUUCUAGACAAACUAGAAGACAUGUUCGAAGGCCAAGAUGUCUUGGCUCAACAGUCGACUCAUACUAGUUUGAUGAAUGCCCAACAAAAACCCAACACUCCAUUCAAAGACCAUAUGAUUACUCUUAUGGGAUACAUUGCCGAGGCCGUGGAUAAUAAGGCCAAUUUGGAUUAAAAUAAUCAAAUUAUGAUGGUGUUCAAAAGCUUGUCCAAGGCUCUUGCAGGCUUUUGAGCUAUAAAUAACCUUGAGAACACUAAUUUGACGCUUACACAACUCAUGAAAGAAUUACAACCCUAUGAGUUAAUGUUAAAUGGCAGCCAACUGGUACGAAGAGUGGAAGCAAACUUAGCUGUAACUUUUUCCUCAAAAGGGAAGAAAAAAUGUGCUAAGAAAAGUAAGGGUAAGUUAUUUGGGCCACCAAAAGUGGAAAGGAAGUUAUCCAAGAAGCUUAAAGACUUAUCUAAGUAUAAAUGCAUCUUUUGUAGUAAGAAAGGGCACUUCAAUGCAAAUUGUAAAAAAUGGAAGGAAUACCUUGCACCAAAGCGAAAGUAUGAAACUCUUUAUGAUAGAAACUUGUUUAGUGGAAGAUUCAAUAGACCAUUGGGUCAUUGAUUUUGGAGUCACUAAUCAAAUGUGUGUUUUUUUGCAGGGGUUCGAGGAGAUGAAAGAUCUUAGAUAUAAGAGUCUAUCGUUGCAGCCAAAAAAUGAGACAACUAUAGCAGCUGAAGCAUGGGGAUAUAUACAUAUUUACUUUGAUAAUUUUAGGAAGAUUAUUUUGAAAGACGUUUCCUAUGUACCAAGUUUCAAAAGAAACUUGAUUUUUGUUGCAUGUUUAUAUAAAGACGGCUUGACCAUGACUUUUAAUAAUAAUAUUGCAAUAUUUAGAAAUCGUAAACUUAUCUGUGAUGGAUGGAUGUCAAAUAAUCUCUAUUUUAGCAAACCAAAUAUGUGCACAUUGCUUGAGACUAAAAUUUCGAAUAAAAGACUUAAAACUUCUCACUCUAAUGAGGUGUACCUUUGGCAUUUGAGACUUGAACAUAUUAACCAAGAUAGAAUUACCAGACUUGCGAAAUAUGGUUCUUUAUGUUCGAUUAAACAAGUUGAUCUUCCACAAUGCGAAUCUUGCUUCGAAGGAAAGAUGACUAAGUGAUCUUUUAAUGCAAACGGAACGAGAGUUGUGAAACCCUUAGUGUUGGAUCUGGUGCCCUAAGUAUAGUAUUUUCUUUUAAGUACACUUGUAAUUUUUUUAACAGAUUAGUUACUAAAAUUAUUCAUAGAUUACAUUAAUAUAUUUUGUAUAAUUUCCUCAUGUGGUUUUUUGCAUGCAAAGAAAAAUAGAAGCAAAUAUUUCUCACUAGUUGUCUAAUGUUUAAAUUAAUACUAAGCAGUAUUACGUGGUCAGAUCGUAAUAUGGAAAGAUAACUUAGAUUAGUAGAUGAACCUAAUCACGUCCUUAAUAGAAUAGGAAAUUAUAAAAUGGAUUGAAAAAUUAAUAUGUUGUCUAUCAGGUCCAAUUGGGAAGAUGCCUUGUAUUGAACAUUAGAGCAAAUAACUCCAAGAAGAUAGAGACAUAGAUCUGACUGACUGGACUGAUAGUACAUCAGACUGGACCCAAGAAAAUAGAUCCUAAAUUCAUUUAUAAAUUUAUCCACUUGUGACAUUUAUAGUGUGGCAUACCUAAAUCCUGAGUGGAUGACGAAUCAUGUAUGUGUGACUCGUAUACUUUGAUAUAAGUAAAAGCCUGAGUUCGAAUAGAUAAGGAAUUGAAAGUUGGUGCAUUCAGUAUAUAACUUCUACAGUGUGUAACAUUAUUCACAAUAGUGGAAUUCAUAGCCCAAGACACCGGUAAAUGAUAUCAUUUUAUUGGCAUUACAUGGUUGAUAAAAAGUAAAUGUGGCCACAGGUCGUUCGUCUUUGUGAUGAUUGACUUGAUUACUAUUUGAUAGUAAUUGACUUGUAACACCCAUAACCCAUUUCCAUCUCUAGAUUAGGGUUACAGAGUAUUACUACACAUUUCAAAACAUUUAACAACGAGUAAUAUUGAGUUUAUCAAUUAUUUAACAACAUUCAUAAAUAAUUUAGAUUGAAGUCAAACAUACACUUACGAGCUUUAAAUCGAGCCUAUGAGGCCUUAAAAAAUAGUUUAGAAACAAUUAAGGCCAAUUUGAAACAAUUCAGAAAGUUUGGGGAAAAACUAAAAAUUUUCAAAAUAGGGGUCACAUAGUUGUGUGUCUAGGUUUGUGUGAUAGAGCCUAGAUCGUGGGGCUCCGGACAUGGUCAUAUGGCUACUCCACUCAUCCGUGUGGCUAUUCCACAUGCCUAUGUGACUAUUUGUAAUAGCACGAUUUUGGGUCUAGUCGGAAUAGUGGUUUCAAGACCACAAAUCUGAAGUAUAAAAAUUUAUUUUUGUUAUAUUUUUAUGGUCUAUAGUUUUAUGGAAUGAUUUCGUGAAAAUUUUGUUCGAAAAUUUUAACGCUUAGGCACUCAAUUUGGUCAAAAGGACUAAAUUAUAAAAAGUGAAAAAGUUGAGUUCUACAUGCUAGAGGUGUCCAAUUAUUAUGAAAUUUUAAAAUGGAGGUCUUUAAAUGGCAAUUAGACCAUUGGUUAAGUUGUUGGACAAAAAUGGACAUGGUUAGGUAUGUUUUUAAAGUUUUUCAUUAUGGGCAUUUUGGUAAUUUGGUAAUUAAAUGAAUUAAAAGCCAAAUUAAAAGCCAAUUUUUUUCCAUCUUCAAGCUAUGGCCAAAUUUCACAAGGGGAAACCAUGGCUAGGGUUUUUCAAGCUUUCAAGCUCGAUUUUAAGUCCAUUCUAGCCUCGUUUUUAAUGAUUUUUAUGUUUUUGAAAUCCUUGUAACAAGAUCUAUCUAUUUCUACCACUAAUUUUAGAUAUAAUAAAAGUUUAAAUUUUUACCCAUGAUGAAUAUUAGUGUAUUUUGAUGUAUAAUGGUAGAAAAUGCAUGUUAGAUGUUAGAUAAAUGACUUUUGCUAAGUGUUUUUCGGUAAAAAUGUAAAAAAUGACUUGUUUGUAAAAGUUAUGAAAAUGUGUGUAAAUGUGUGAAUAAAAGGAAAAUGUGGGCUGCUAUAAGCAUGUAUAAGGUUUGGCUAGGCAUGGGUAUUGAAGAAAUUAAGUACAUUUCAUUUUACGAGCCUAGGGACUAAAAUGUAAAAAUGUGAAACUUAAGGGGAAAAAAGUAUUUUUUUCCAUAAUAUAAUUUUGGGCUGGUUUGAAUAGCUUAAUGAUUAAAUAAUUUGAAUGUGAUAAUAUAGAUCAAGAAAAAGGAGAUUGGAACUAGAAUGGGGGAAAAACGAGUAUUUGACGAUUAGGUCUUUUUCGCCAUUUUUAUGUCAAGGUAAGUUCAUAUGUUUAAUAAGCAUUAAAUUAUAUAUGUAUUAAUGCUUAAUUGUUAUAUUUGUGAUAAAUUCUAUAUUAUUGAAAUGAAAUGUGAAUAUUAUUGAGUAUGGUAUUACGGAAAUGACCGAUAGCGAUUUGGUACAGUGAGAAAUCCCGUUUGAACCUCAGGAAUAGAUUAGGAUACAAGUGACAUGUCACUAACCAUGAGUUAUGUGAUUUAUGUGAAUCUGGGUGCUGGUCAUGUACAUCCUACCGGUGGUUGGGUAGUCCAGCAUGUGUUGCGGAUACCUGACAGCUUGUAUGAGUAGCCCGUGUAGUUACGUCUUGACUGACAGCUUGUGUGAGCAGGCCUGUGAUUAGCUCGUGUGCGAGCCCUAUGUGUUAUGAGAUAUGAGGUAGCAUUGGAUACAUAUGUGACACUUAUGUGUAAGACCUUCUGUGUAUCCGACAGUGUUUUAAGUGUUCAACGGGUAAUCCGAAGAGUAUGUCAAAGAUGGCAAAGUAUGUGACUAUGUUAUGAAUUUAUACAGAAUGCUCAGUAUCAAGCACACGGGCAGAGACAUAGGCGUCUGUCUCAGCCAUUUGAAGGACACGGCCUUGGGACACGGGCGUGUGCCUUGGCCGUGUGACCUCAAUUUUUUCAUGACGUCAUAAAUAGAGAGUUGCACAGGUUAAGAACACGGGCGUGUUCCUUACUACACAGGUGUGUGCCUCGGUCCAUACGGCCGUAUGGCCCUGUUUCCAUGAGAAAUUUUUUAAGUUUUCUAAAAGUUUUCAAAGUUUUCGGUUUAGUCCUGAACCACUUACGAUGUAUGUUUUGGGCCUCGUAGGCUCGUUUUAGGGACGAUAUGAAUGUCUGUGAAAAGUUUUAAAUUUGGAUGGAAAUUUACGUUUGGUUUUGCUUAUGUUUACGUCUGGUAAUGCCUUGUACCCUGUUCUAGAGUCGAAUAUGGUUAAGAGGUGUUAUAUUUAGUGGUAUCAAUGCCAUGGUUUAGUUGAUUCUCAGGCUAACCUAGCAUGUGUGAGAGUCUAGCUAUGCAUGCCAUAUAGAGCCCGUGAUAGUUUGAUAUCUCUCGACUCUGAUGAAAUUAUUUUGUUGAGACAGAGAUGCUUUCCAAUCGAGCUACUUUCGAAAACGCUGAAAGUGAUACUAAGAUAUUUGUAAAUGUGUUUGUGAUGAGUCAAAACUUGAAAAGGUAUGAAUAAGAGUCCAUGAUAUGUAUGUGAUGACGUAGAAAAUGGAAUAACCAUAAGUUGAGAAAUAUGGUUAAAAUGUCACUGUUCCGGUUGAACGUUGUGUUUCAAUGGAUUAUGGUGAUUUUAUGAAACAAAAUGAAAGUUUAUAUUGUGAUAAACUCAUCUAUGUUUGUUUGGCAUUCAUAUGAUGUUAUGUGCCUAACUUGUUUGACAAAGUGAAUGCAAUGAGUAAACUUACUCAAAAUUUAUGGAAUGUAUGUAUAAGUGCACUUGUUUGAAUAAGAUAAUCAAAAAGUUCGUGUAACAUAAAUAUGUAUGUUAAAUUGCCUAAAGUGGCUUAUAUAACUGUGAUGAUAUUAUAAUGAUGAUGAAUGUUAAGUCACAUGUGUAUAUAUAUGAGAGUCGAGUUAGAGGCUUUACGACCUCACCCCCUUACCAAUGUGGUAUUUUAUUGUGAAAUUUCACGAGAUUUAUGUUGAAUGAGUUCACAAGUGAGAGACUAAAGAGUUCAGUAGCGGAAUAACUAAUAAUGUGGUCAAAGUUGAAAAUAUCUUGGCAAGUGAAUACAGUUUUGGAAAAAAUGCCAGGUUAUUCUAAAGAUCAUUUGGAUUUCGUAAUGUCACAGUUAAAGAAAGAGUUAAUCUUGGCUAAUCGACUCAUUCAAGUAUAAUGUCUAAAGUAUGUAUUUGCUGGAAUUUCUUCUAGAUUGAUUUUCAUUAGUGAAUGGAAUAAUACGGGAUUAGUGAUGACAAAAUUAGUCAGAGAAAUAAUAUUUGAAUUGUAAAGAUGUUUGAGUGUAACAGUUGAAAUUGAAUAGAUUAUGAUGACCUCUCCUGGGUAUUUUAUAUAUUCACUUAUCCUUAGAGAUAUAUGUGAUUGUUCGUUUUCUGAUGAAAUUCUUAUCGUAUGAGAAUGCUAGUUGAUAAUAAUGUUAGAUGAAAGCACUAUUGUUUUGGUUGGUUGAUGAUCAGCAUAUCUUAUCUCCUUCUUUGGGGUUCUAUUCUAUUAUGUUUGGAAUAAUAGUUGAUGGUGCAAAUUCAUGUGAGGCUAUCCUUUUGUUUCUACUGGAUGUUGUUUUAUUUUAUAUAUAUUUGGAAAAUAUAUUAUCUCUGUUACAAUUGAUUCCAAAACAUGUAAGCAUUGUUUUCUUCUGGUUUUCUUUGAGGAAUCAUCAAGAUAUUUAUUAUUUUCAUAUGAAUUAUGUUCUCGGACUUCCAGUAUGGUAUCACAUCCUGGAUUUCUUUAUCUCGGUUUUCUUAUCAUCCUUAUUUCGUAAAUUAUCAAUCAUGGCUCGUCUUUAAAGUGUGUUCUUUGGCCUGUGAUAGCUAUGUCUAUUAUGGGUGUAUUUCUGGUUCGAUCAUAGGAACGUGGUGAUUUUGGUAUUAGGAUUUCUUUGAUUUUCGUGAAAGGAAUUGACAUCGGAAAAGGUAUAGAUAGUGGAAGCUCAAGCUCAAAUUGAAUGAUGGUUUUCAUUUCUCAGUUGAGAUCGACUCAGUUUUUUUUAUCUGAGCGAGCUGGUCAGUUGAAAGGUAAUUUGAGUUAUAUGCAUUUAAGUUUAUCCUCAAGUAAGAAAAUAAAAUCUUGUACAUUUAUGGUGAAUAAACGAAUAGUUUUAAGGAAGAGUUCAUAUUCUAAAAAGUAUGAUACAGAGGUAUACCUAUUAGAUUUGUUCUAAUUGAAUGAUGUUGUUAUGAGUUAAAACUGUUCCAAUUGAUAAAAUUAUCACAUUUGUGAAAGUUUGAAUGGUCCGUUGCAUGUUAAAAGUUGAAAACAGUUGAAGGUGUUAUUAACUGAAACACUGGUUCUGGGUUCUGUUUGCAUUGAUGUAAAUAAUUAGUGACUUUUCAUUUCUGCACUAUCGAACAGAUUAGAAUGUGUCUUAAUACAAGAGUAUAAAGUGAUAGUUUAUGCUUUUUGAUGAUUAAAAUCUCAUUAAAAGAAUUGUCCGAUGGGUGAUUUAGAGUCAACCACUAUUAUGUCUGUGUUGAAGUUGAUGACAUCGUUUGUUCGAUGAAAAAUGACAUAUGCUUCUUGAUUCCAAGAGUAUAAAUGUAAUACCCUUAACCCAAAUCCGUAGCCAGAUUUGGGUUACGAGGCAUUAUAAGACGAAAUCACAUUUCUCAUAAUUCUCAAGCUCAAAUAACAUCUCACCACUUAUUCAAAAAUGUCAAGUCAUUACAUAAAUAUAUAUCACAUAUCCAAUUAAAUAAAUCAUGAAUCAUUAUGAAACAAGUAGCCUUAAUUCACUUAAUCACAUAAAUCAAAUUUUCACAAUACAAACCAUGCUCCAAAACUCAACCAAGCCAUUACCAUUUACUUAUUCAAAUAUUCGAAUCAAAUAAGUAAUAUCCAUAUCCUAUUUCUUAUACUUCAUAAAUUCAAUGUUCAAAGCAUAUAUCCAUCAUGUCAUGGCAUUUGAAUACCAACUUGAAUAGAAACCAUUUUUCAAUCCAUAAAUAUCAAAUGCGCACAUAUGGACCAUUUAGCUAAUGAAAAUUAAACAUACUUUACUACUGUAAUACAUAUACUUUAUUACUCCAAUAACCGAACCAUAUAUUCAGCAUACAGGAUAUUCGAACUUCUAUUUAAUAAUCAAACAUGUCAAUUCAUAACAUUAUACAUAUGCAUGUUAAACCAAUUUGACCAUAUCAUCAUGGCUUAAUAUUCAUUUGCACAUAUAAACUUAAGUAACUUUAUAUCAUAACUAACUAAACUUUUAACAUUGUCAUACCAUGCGCAUAACACCUUUAAGCCAUUUCUAAAUACAAUUAUCAAAACGUAGCAUAUUAACCUUAUAACCUUUUUUGCACAUUUUACCAAAUCAAAUUUAACCAUUUUUGAACACAAUUGUCCAGUCAUACCAUACCUAAUUCUCAAACUCAAUAACAUAUUUAUCCAUGUCGUAUUCAACCACACACAUGGACCACAUACCAAAGCUGAAUUUAUUACAACAUAUGUAUAUCACACAUUUUUUUAAUCAAAUGUUAUAUAAGCAAUUUGACCAUUACUUGUCGAAUAACCCAAACUUCGUGACACAAGCAUAGAUUUUAUUUAAUUAUCAUCAAUCGAAUAUAAUAGAUCAUCAAUUAUCAUUUCCAAACCAAUAUAUAAACAAAUUUUGCAUCAAAAUAUAGAUUAAUAAUAAACCACACUAAAUACCCAAAUUCACAUAGCUUAGCAUAGUCAUUACAUAGUAAAUAUAAACACAUACCAACAUUAUCAUACAACCAAAUCAUUAACCACAUUGCCAUCACUCAAUAUUUUAAGCUAAAUAUGCCAUCUCAUAACUUAACAUCAAAAUAAUAUAUCAGUUAUUUUUAUUCAAAUGACCAUCAAACAUACCCAAAAUAUAAUCACCAUUUUACCAUAUUACUAAGCCAAAUUAUACCAUUUUCCAUGCCUUCAAAAUGAGCUACUAGUAAGCCGAAUAUACAUCUUACUUACCAUUCCUCAUUGCUGAAUCAUAUAACCAACAUCAAGACCAAAUAUAAACACCAACAUUAGCAUCAUGAUCAUGAUCAAGCCAUUUUCGCAUGGCUAUACACAAACAAAUUUCAAAACCACAUAUAUCAAAACUAGCCUAUACAUGCCACAUAACCAAAUUUCAAGUAUUUAUUUACCAAAACAAAUAUUGGAUAGUGUGAUGAUGUCUCCCAUGACUUACAACCCGAGCAAGUCUUUGAAAAUCUAUAAGCAUAGAAAAAAAAUACACAGAGUAAGCUUUGAUAGCUUAGUAAGCCACAAGCAAAUAAUUCAUCACUAGAACAUGUAUAAUUCAACCCAAAUAGGCCAAGUUUAGUUAAUUUCAUACACAUAUGCAAUCACUUUUCUCAUAUAAUCCAUAUCACUGCCUUAAGAAAUUUCACUUAUCUUAUUGAUAAACCGUAAUUUAUACAUAUUUUUAUCCCAUGCUUAGCGCAUUUAUGGAUGGUUUCUCUUUAGAUUUGGUGACUUCAAUAUUCCUAAUUCUUUAAUUUCAUGUUUUAUACUCAGGUGAGCAUAGGAAAGUAAAAGAGCGACAAACGGGCCAAAAACGAAGAAAAUGGACCCACAUGAGAAAUCAACAUGGCCUGGACUUCCUCACACGGACGUGUCACACAGCCGUGUCCAUUUGGCAGGAUCGAAGCACGACUUACACGGGUAGACUACAUGCUCGUGCCUGUUCAACAGCCUUUACCACAGGCUGGAGUAAUCGCACACGGGCGUGUCCCUGCCGAGCCCAAGUAUAGUCCUAUUCGAAAAAAGCCACUUGUGAGGGCUCUUAGGCAUUCUAAAGCCUAUUUAAACACCUGAGGAGGCACUUAGAAGACACACAUGAAGUAGGAAGCAAGGAAUUACUCAAGGGAAGCCGAUUGGUCCAUCUCAGAAGUCGGAUUCAUCGUUAAGACUGAAGAUCUCCCUUCAAUUUCUAUUCAGGGGUUUUGGGUUUUCUUUAUGUUUUGUAUUCAUUAUUCUUUUGAGAUGUUUCCUUUUUUAAUUAUGAACUAAACCUCCUAAAUACCUAAGGGGAAUGAAACCGAAGACAGAUCUUGUUAUUAUUAUCUGAAUUGUAUGAUAAAUAUUUGACUUGUUCUUAAUUAUGUGUUCUUAAUUCUUGUUUUAAUAUUCCAGGAUAUUGAUCCAAGUUAAUGCUCUUAUUCAGAGGAGGAAAAGACCCUGUCUAAGAGUAAAUUUGUCGUAAUUAAGUGGAGUUGAUUGCAUGCCUAGAGAUAGGGUGAUAAGAUUUUUUCAGAUUAGGGUGAAACCUAAUAAGAGGAUCCAUAGAUCGAGUUAAUGCAACACUAGGGCAUUAAUUUAGAAAGAGAUUUCAAUUAAUCAACCUAGGGUUAGACGUUAUUAGUCUCAAGAGAGAUAAUAAUAUAACUUAGGGAUUUCUACAGAUCAAGUCAAAUGAAUAAAUCGCCUGAUUCAGAGUCAAAUAACAAGUGAAGUCUAGGUGGAUUUUUCCUUGGGUAUUGUCUUAAUCAAUCGAAUUUUCCCAAAAGCUUUUCCCUAAUUUCUCUCUGUACACUCUUAGUUUAGUUAAUCAGUUUAGAUAAACAAAUCCCUUAAUUUUUAGACUAGAUAAUAAAAAGAAAGUAAUUACUAGUACUUUUGGUUCCUUUGGGUUCGACAAUCCGGUCUUGCUAAAGCUAUACUACUGUUCGAUAGGUACACUUACCUUCAUCGUGAUAAUAGUUAGUUUCAAGAAUGAUUAAUUAUAAAUUUUUAAAACUUGUUGCGAAUAUCACGUAUCAAGUGUUUGGCGCCGUUGCCGGGGAACUAAGAUAUUAGUAACACUCAAUUUUUAUUACUUUAGACAUUUUACUUUUAUUGCAAUUUAAAUUUUUAUUUUCUUUUCUAAUUCUUCAUUUAUUUUCUUCUGACAGGUUUUUUGUAGUUUAUGACCAGAAGAAACCCGUCAGGGCCACUACUUUUUGACGGUGAGAUCGACCACAUAGUUCGCAGAAACCGAAGAGAAUAAGGCGAAGCCUAAGAUACACAGAGGAAGAGCAAGAGGACGAUAUUCAUGCCACAACCAAGGAGAUGGUCGACAACUAGGAAAAUCUGCUACCUCCUGCAAUUGCUGCUAAUCAGAAUCUUGCUCCACGCACUAUGUAUGAUUAUGCUAAACCUUAUUUAACAGGAACUGAAUCGAGCAUAGUUAGGCCUGCUGUUGCUGCAAAUACUUUUGAAUUGAAACCUAACACAAUUCAAAUGAUACAGUAAUUUGUUCAGUUUGAUGGUUUGCAGGACGAAGAUCCCAAUGCUCACUUGGCAAACUUUUUGGAACUAUGUGAUACAUUUAAAAUUAAUGGUGUUUCUUAUGAUGCCAUUCGCCUUCGAUUAUUCCCUUUUUCAUUAAGGAACAAAGCUAAACAGUGGUUGAACUCAUUACCACAAGGGUUAAUCACUACCUGGGAACAAAUGACCGAAAAGUUUUUAUUAAAAUAUUUUUCGCCGGCUAAAAUAGCUAAAUUACGUAAUGAUAUCCCUUCUUUUAUGUAGAUGGAUUUAGAAACACUCUAUGAUACAUGAGAGAGAUACAAUGACCUUUUGAGAAGGUGCCCUCACCAUGGGUUACCACUCUGGCUACAGGUUCAAACGUUCCACGACGGCCUGAAUCCUUCGACUAGACAGAUAAUUGACACAGCUGCUGGUGGAACUAUCAAUAAUAAGACACCUGAGGAUGCUUAUGAAUUUAUAGAAGAAAUGUCAUUGAAUAAUUAUCAGUGGCAAGUCAUGAGGACAAAGCCAACAAAAGCGGCUGGCGUUUUUAACGACGAUUCAGUCACAAUGCUCUCCAAUUAGGUAGAACUUUUGAAUAAAAAAUUGAUGGUUUUCUUGGUUUUUCACAGGUUCACCCAGUAAUGCAGUGCGAAGCAAUUGGAGGUAGAUCAAGCAAUUCAGAAUAUCCACCCUAUGGCCACAACAUGGAGAACGAGAAGUUAAAUUACAUGGGUAAUAAUCCUCGAUCUCAAAAUAAUCCUUAUAGUAAUACUUACUAUGCAGGUUAGAGGAACCACCCAAAUUUCUUAUGGGGAGGCCAAGGGAAUCAGAGACCACCACCACCUCUAGGCUUCCAACAACCACCCUACCAACAAGAGAAAAAACCAAACCUUGAAGAGAUGCUAACAAAAUUCAUCUCGGUGCCAAAAACUCAUUUUUAGAAUAUCGAGACAACACUUAAAAAUCAACAAGUGUCGAUCCAAGGGCUCAAAACUCAAAUAGGUCAGCUCGCUAAAUUGAUAUCUGAACGACCACAAGAUAGCCUACCGAGUAACACUAAAUCUAACCCAAGGGAGCAAAUCAAUAUAAUUACCAUUCAAGAUGAGGAAGGGUUAGUUGCACCUGAACCAGAACCGAGGCAAGAAACUGUGGUAAGUAAAGGUAAGGGUGAGGUGGACAACAAUGACCAGAAACCGGUAAGUAAAGAAUACAAACCUCGUGUACCAUACCUAAACGCGACAAGGAAAGACCGCACAAAAGAACAAUUUGGUGAAUUCCUUAAAUUAUUAAAGAAGUUACAUAUUAACUUACCGUUUAUUGAAGCUCUUUCACAGAUGCCAAACGCAGUCAAAUUCUUAAAAGAGCUUUUAACAAAUAAACAGAAGUUGGAUGAAGCGUCGCAUGUGGAACUAAAUGCAAUUUGUUCAGCCAUACUAUAUAAUAAGCUAGCCAAAAAAUUAAAAGAUCCAAGGAGUUUUACGAUUCCCUGUUUAAUUGGUAGCCUAGAUGUUAAUAAUGCUUUGGCUGAUUUAGGGGCUAGUAUUAAUGUCAUGCCUUACAAAUGUUUAAGCAACUAGGUCUUGGGAAACCCAAACAAACUAGGAUGAGUAUACAAUUAGCCGAUAAAACAAUUAGAUUUCCUAGAGGGAUUAUUGAAGAUGUACUCGUUAAAAUUGACAAAUUUAUAUUCCUAGUUGAUUUCGUUGUUCUAGACAUAGAAGAGGAUAGUAAUGUUCCUUUAAUUUUAGGGAGGCCCUUUUUAGCAACUGCUAGAACAAUAAUUGAUGUUGGCACAGGAGAACUCACACUUCGUGUGGGAGACGAAACAAUCACCCUUCAAGCUCGUAAUUCGAGGAACACAUCGAAAAUUGAAGGUGGUUGUAUAAAUCAUUCUAUUAAAACUGACCAUGUGGUGCAACCUACUUUGCAGGAAAUAAGUUCGAAGAACCUAUACGAGCCAUGUUCAAGCAACAACAACAGACCUAUCUAUGAAGAACGUAGGCUACAAAUCAAGGAACUAGAUUAAUGGCGGACACAUAAAUCGAGGACACACGAUAAACCAAAACCAUGCCAUGACCAGCUCAAUAUCGCACCAAAUCAACUUAAGGUUGGAGACAAAGUACUACUAAAUGCAGCAGACCAUCGUAUUGCAACUUCUGAACCUAACGGAGCAAUCCUUCUUGCGGUACUCAGUAUUUUCCCAUAUGGUACAAUCGAGGUAAUUCACCCCAAAUUCAGCACUUUUAAGGUAUAAAAUACUUGUCUUAAACCUUAUUUUGAUAAAAUUGAUAGCAGGGAUGAGGAGUGUAAACUCCUCGCACCACCGUGACCAUGCACCAGAAAGGUAAGUCGAGCUUAGGCUAUAAAUAAGCGCUUCUCGGGAGGCAACCCUAGCACUAAUGAUGCCUCUUUAAAAUUUUAGUUUUUAACAUCUAAUCACCAACUAAAUCAUUGAAACAUAGGUUUUCUAAUCCACACGACCUGGCACACGGGCGUGCCUUAGAUCGUGCUCGCACCAUGGGAGGAGACACGGUUGUGCGAUACGGCCGUGUGAAAACAAGGUAAAAUCUUUCUCAACACGAGUUUUGAUAAGUAGCCACGGCCGUGCGACAUGGCCGUGGUCGAGUCUGUCAAACCAACACGAGCGUGUGACACGCCCGUGUCUUUACACCGUGGUUGAAAUUGAGAAUUGAGCACGGGCGUUCGACAUGCCCGUGCCUACCAACUGUGCUCAAGACUAAUAAAAUAACACAGGCGUGGACAUCCAUACAUGGGCAUGGGAGAAGCGAACAAAGCAGAACAUGGACCACAGCCAGGCGACAAAACCAAGUGCACCAACACGCCCAAAGAGCACGGGCGUGUGUCGACUCUCAACGAGCCCAAAUUUAAAAAAUCGUAAAACAAACGGGAAAAAAUUAGGCACACCCGUGUGCCCCAAAAUCUAUAAAUACCCCUCACUAUUCAUCAUCCCCUUCCCCAAAACCCCUAACCCUAGCCGCUGCAACAUCACACACCCUAUCUGCCACGCUCGUGUGCCGACCACAACACCGCUUUCGACGACCCAAAGUUUCUCCCUCUUGCGUUUGUUCAUUUUUUCUCUCUAUUCUCUUCAUCCUUUUACUUAUUUCAUGAUAUUUUGUUUUAUUUUGAGUAAAUAAUCGUAGUUAUUAUGAUAGAAUCCUUAUGCCCUUUGUUAAAAAAAUUGUCGUCUUAGUCAAUACAUUUUGCUACACUCAUCCAUUUUUCUUGUUUCCAUAGAGUUCAUGCUUACCUACACCAUAUUUCAUUCUUAUCAAACUCACAUGCAUUCAUUUACUAGAUGUUUUUGUUUGCAUUACUCUCGUAGUCCUAUUCAUAAUAAUGACGUGAUAUAUCUGCUUUGGUUGUUUUAGUAUACUUUUCAUUUAGUACGUAAGCCCAUGAAAUAUUCUUUUUCAGUUUUAACACGCGUACAUCCUUGGGGAAUACUUAACUUUGACUUUUCAUUGCAGGUAUACAAUGUUAUCCUCACAUGGUAAGAAGACCACUGUCCCCACCUCGAAUAAGAGAAAAGGAGCAGCGUCAUCCUCGGGUCCUACCGCUGAGAUCCGUCACCCUUUCCUCCAGUUCCCCUUGGGACCCCAAGAGGAGCUAUUUCAGAUAUUACGGGCCUGACUCCUAGGUGUGGGCCGUUGCAUUUACUGGGCUGCACUUGAGCAAAUUCAGAUGGCUAACGCGGUCCGAGCCCUCCUGACGACUGAAUCGUGGGGGCUCUUCUUUGAGAUCAUUGAGCCGAUAUACCUCGAGCUCACAAUGGAACUCUGCUCGACCUUCCAUCUUUAAGUUGUCAUGACAAACUUUGACGAUCCUGGAACGAUCCAGUUCCGCCUUGGUGGUCUAGUGUGCUAGUUGAGCGUACUGGAGUUUGGAAUUGCACUUGGGCUGUACAUGGAGGAGUUCAUGGACGACAAUGAACUCGACACUCUCCAUCGCCACAUCCACUACUCCCCCUCAAAAUGCUGGAAGGACCUUGUCCAUGCCUCGGCCACUUAUGAUCCUAGCCACUCUAAGGCAUCGGCCCUUACCCAAUCCCUACGAUACCUACACGCCAUCUUGGCCCACACUCUGACAAGACAGCGAGAGAGCACAGGUUUCAUCAACACUCACGACGCCUAUUUCUUCUGGAGAAUGGCGAAUGGGUAUGUCUUCGACCUUCCCUAUUUCAUUGCUCUCUCCAUUCGCCAUCAGACAGAACGACAUAGGAGAGGAGUCAUCUCGACCGGGCCUUAUGUGACUCGAUUGGCUUGGUACUUCGGGCUCUUCAACACAGCAGUACAAUCGUCCUCCCUCAUUCUCAUCGGCCAGAUGUCCCCAUAAGGCAUCUCGAGCAUGCUACAUAUGAGGAUGAUCGAGAAACGACAUGGCACCUACCCUCAUCAGUACCGCCUCAUCCAGUCUACCGAGGAGGAGGACCCAAAGGGCAUUACUGAUGAUGUCCCUCCACGUCAUGAGAACCCACCAUCUCAGCCACCACCCAUCCAUCGUCUAGUUCAUACGGUGACUUUAUACUCUGACAUCUCUGAGCGCCUUACUCGAUUUGAGCACCAGGGUUUUCAACGCUUUGAUCACAUUGAUGACACUCUUCAUCAGAUUUGUCAGCACCUUCACAUCUCAUCGCCACCACCACCUUGCGAACCAUUCGGCGAUGACGAUGUUUAAAAACUUUUUAUUUAUUAUUUUUAUUUUCACUUUUAUCUUUAUUUAUCCUCUUUAAGUACUUUUUAUUUAUUUUCCUUUAAUAUUAUUUUAAUUUUAGGUUUUAUAAUUUUUAUUGAAUAAUUUAUAAUUUCGGCUAUUUCAUUAUGAGUAAUUAUGCUUCCUUAUGUUUCCUAAAGAGUUCUUAAUUUUAUCACACUUAUAAAGAGCUCCAUAGCUCAUCAUCACUUAGGAACUAAAAAUUCCAAUGGAAAAGGUUCUCCACGACUGCCAUGUCUUGCUCAACCACGACCAUAGCUACUACCAGAUAUAAUAUUCUUUUGGCAUAGGACUUAUGCACUAAUGAACCUUACCACCACCAGAUUAUCCUCCUCCACUCUCAUCAUUGCCUUGGCCGAUUAUUCUCCAUAACUCCAAUUCAGGGAGUUCAUUCAUCAUUCAGGAAGUUUCAUUUCUCUCCCUAUCUUAUGAUUAUAUAUCUAUAUUUUUCAAUAUAUCUAUCUUUGUACAUUGAGGGAAAUGUAUAUCUUAACUGUGGGGGGUCUUUUAUAUCAUCAUCAAAAAUCCCUGAAUUUUGUCUUAUUGUCACGUGAAUCUCUCAUAUCACUAUUAGAAUGAAUUUUAAUUAAUCUAUGAUUUUUAUUGAUAUGUCUUGAAUUAAAACAUAGGCAUUUAUGCAUUGACUGUUUAAACUUUAAGACAUUAAAGAAUCAAGCAUGAUAAGUUGAUUUUUGAAGAAUUAAAAACUUUUAGGUUAUUUCCCCAAAGUUUAGAUAUUAUCUUGAGUUGAAAUUCACAAGUUUAAACAUAAAAAAGCCACAAUUUUUGUGAGAUCUUGAGCCUUUAGAGCAUAUUUUAUUUCUUUCAUGCUCACUUUUAUUAUGAGUGCGUCAGUAUUGAUUGUUAUUCUAGACCUUGCUUGAUUAUGCAUGUUAAGGCCACACCAUUUGAUUUGAUAUGUCGAGAUGAUAAAGGCACUUAGGUUUAACCCACUCACUCCAAAAAAGCCUACCUUCAUAAUUAACCCUUAGUGAACCCCUUUGAGCCUAACAAGCCAUCAAUUGACUUACCCUCAAUUGUAAACCAUAACCCAUUAUUAUUGAAAUCCCCUAAUUUGAUCCCUAUUUUUGUCGAGAUUUGAUUUGAAUUAAUUGCUUAGCUAUGUUUUAUUCUUCGUUGCAACAAUUAAGUUCUAUGUUAUUUGACUUGUUCUUAAAAAAAACAAUAACAAUAACAACAAUACUUACAUACAUAUUAGUAGUAAUUCGUCAUUUUUGAGCUUGAGUGUUAAUUCCAUAUUCAGAGAAGAAGCUCACUUGUAUUCAACCGAUAAUUAGUUAUUUUUCUAGUUAGGUGAUUUCUUCAAUUCAAUCUCGAUUCUAACCUUUUCUUUCAGCUUGUGACCACACCCCCUAACCAAAGCCACGUUACAACCCUUUAAAGACCUUUUUGAUUAAUGUAUCAUCUCAAUAUAUAGUGGUGGAGAUUUGAUUUUCAAGCAAGCCUAUGGUAAUAAUUUUUCAUAUUGACUAAUAAGUGUUUUAUUUGAUGUCCUUAAACAUCUCGAGUGAUUUGAGUGAACCUUUAGUGAAGAUGUUAAACUCUGUGAUAUUUUGAUCAAAGGUGAUUACUUAGAUGAGGGGAGACACCUAUGUUUUCGUUAUAAAAUACUAAACUUGGAAUGUUUGAAACUUUGAUGUACUUUUAGUUGAAUUUUCAAUGUAUGAUUACUUAUGGAUUAUUUUGAGAUAUUGUUGAUAGGGAUUAUAAAUUGGGAAUAAUUUAUUUUGAUUGUGAGUUGAGGAUUUUGCUUGAGGACAAGCAAACGCUUAAGUGUGGGGGUAUUUGAUAAAUAAUAAUUUAUACAUAUUUUUAUCCCAUGCUUAGCGCAUUUAUGGAUAGUUUCUUCUUAAAUUUGGUGAAUUCGAUGCUCCUAAUUCUUUAAUUUCAUGUUUAUACUCAGGUGAGCGAAGGGAAGUAAAAAGAGUGAGAAAUGGGCCAAAAAUAGAGAAAAUGGACCCACAUGGGAAAUCAACACGGCCUGGACUUCUUCACACGGGCGUGUCAUACGGCCGUGUCCAUUUGGCAGGAUUGAAGCACGACUUACACGGGUAGACUACACACCCAUGCCUGAUCAACAGCCUUGACCGUGGGCAGGAGUAAUCGCACACGGGCGUGUCACACGGCCAUGUCCGUACCGAGCCCAAGUAUAGUCCUAUUCAGAAAAGGCCACUUGUGAGGGCUCUUAGGCAUUCUAAAGCCUAUUUAAACACCUGAGGAGGCACUUAGAAGAUACACACGAAGUAGGAAGCAAGGAAUUACUCAAGGGAAGUCGGAUUCAUCGUCAAGAUUGAAGAUCUCCCUUUAAUUUCCAUUUAGGGGUUUUGGGUUUUCUUUAUGUUUUGUAUUCAUUAUUCUUCUAAGAUGUUUCCUUUUAUAAUUAUGAACUAAACCUCCUAAAUACCUAAGGGGAAUGAAACCUAAGAUAGAUCUUGUUAUUAUUAUCUGAAUUGUAUGAUAAAUAUUUGACUUGUUCUUAAUUAUGUAUUUUUAAUUCUUGUUUUAAUAUUCUAGGAUAUUGAUUCAAGUUAAUGCUCUUAUUCAGAGGAGGAAAAGACCCUAUCUAAGAGUAAAUUUUUCAUAAUUAAGCGGAUUUGAUUGCACGCCUAGAGAUAGGGUAAUAAGAUUUUGUCAGAUUAGGGUGAAACCUAAUAAGGGGAUCCAUAGAUCGAGUUAAUGCAACAUUAGGGCGUUAAUUAGAAAGAGAUUUUAAUUAAUCAACCUAGGGUUAGAUGUUAUUAGUCUCGACAGAGAUAAUAAUAUAACUUAGGGACUUCUACGGAUCAAGUCAAAUGAAUAAAUCGUCUGAUUUAGAGUCAAAUAACAAGUGAAGUUAGGUGGAUUUUUCCUUAGGUAUUGUCUUAAUCAAUCGAAUUUUCCCAAAAGCUUUUCCCCAAUUUCUCUCUGUGCACUCUUAGUUUAGUUAAUUAGUUUAGAUAAAUAAAUCCCUUAAUUUUUAGGCUAGAUAAUAAAAACAAAGUAAUUACUAGUACUCUUGGUUCCUUUGGGUUCAACAAUCCGAUCUUGAUAAAGCUAUACUACUGUUCGAUAGGUACACUUGCCUUCAUCGUGAUAAUAGUUAGUUUUAAGAACGAUUAAUUAGAAAUUUUUAAAACCUAUCGCGAAUAUCACGUAUCACUUAUUUAUCCAUGAACAUAUAAACCAUGCUUUCAAAUUAGAGUAAUAACCAUUAGCUCAAUUAUAUAAAUCAAGUUUGCACAUAUUCAUUACAUAACCAACCAAAACAUGUCAUGUUUCACUAGCCAAUUUACAUAUAUACAAACCAUACAUCAUAACACCACCGUCUCGAUAUCUAUUUCAUAUCCAAUUUUCAAAUCAAAACAGUAUAUCUCAAAACCAUGUUUCUUGUUUCAUAUUUCUCAUGUUCGAAUCAUAGAACCACAAGGUCAUAUAAUGAUCACAUAUAACACACAUUCAUUUGUAUACAUUUCUUUCAUUCAUGAUAAUAUAUUUCACAUAUCGUCAUUAGAAACAUUUUCACCUUCCAUUUUUGAAUUUCAUAUACAAUUCACACGUACUAGAAUCAUAUAUGGUAAAAAUGUAACACCCCCAUGCCCGAGACCAUCGUCGGAGUCGAGCUUGAGGGGUUACCGAACAAUAUUUAUCACAUUAAGAACUUCAAAUCAUUUAUUUCUACAUUCACAGCUUUCUAGCUACCCACAUCACAGUUACAAGAAAAAUCAUAUCUCGAGUUACAAAACUCACAAUCAAGAUCUGUAAAUUUUCCCUGAAUCUAGACUCACAUAUCUAUUUACUAAUUUUUUUUCUAGAAUUUUUGGUAGGGCCAAUUAGUACAGUUUAUUAGUUAAAGUCUCCCCUGUUUCAGCGUUCGACUGCUCUGACCACUGUGUAUUACGAAUCAGAUAUUUCUCCAUACAGAAUUUAAAUGACUAUGAGGUUUGUUUCUCUUAAAGCUAGACUUAAUAAGGAAUCUGUACAUAUAAAGAAAAACUUCUAAUUAUUUUUUUAAAAUUUAUUAUGAAUUUUUUUAAAGUCAGAACAGGGGAUCCAGAAAUCACUCUGGCCCUAUUUCACAAAAUUUUAAAUAUCUCAUGAAAUAUAAUUUAUAUGCCUGUUUUGUUCAAUCCACAUGAAAAUAGACUUAUUAAGCUUCAAUUUCAUAUCUUACUCAUCAUUUAGUUCCAUUUAUACUAUUUUUAGUGAUUUUUCAAAUUCAUGUCAUUGCUGUAGCAAUAUUCUGUUUUAAGGCAAGUUUCAUCUUUCCAUGAAUUUUUAUGAACUAGAUAACCUAUUAAAUUUCCAUAAUAUCAAACAUGAUCUAAAUUAGCCAUCACCAUGACUUAUCAAUAUCAAAAAUUUUCUCAACCAAACAUGGCCAUAUCAUAAAAUUAUUUACACAAAAUAAGUAUAUUGCUAUACAUGCCAUACUUAAGUUUUACAAGCCAUUUACCCAGAUGAAAGUCCUUUGGAUAGUGUGAUCGAACCUUCGACCCGUCCCGAUUCCCGAGCUGGCUUGUUCAAAAAUACAGUAAAUAAAGAGGAGGGAGUAAGCAUAAAUGCUUAGUAAGUUCAUAUGUAAAUAACAAGUAACAUAACAAUACAAAUAUACCAAACAACUUUAGCAUGGUAUCACCAAAACAUAUAUCACAUUUCUAAACAUCAUUCAUCAUCUUACCACCUUAUCGUUGUUGUAUCUAUUUUCAACCCGAGGGUUAAGAACAUACCUGUCCAAAGUGUCCAUUUCACAACACUUACCAAAACAUCGCUUCAUCUUAAGUGUUCUUCCAUUUCACUAGAAAUUUCACCCGUUGAACACAUCGGAAGA
This 26541-nucleotide long non-coding RNA is filed under the name Gossypium barbadense (sea-island cotton). The record is from RNAcentral. Lineage: Eukaryota; Viridiplantae; Streptophyta; Magnoliopsida; Malvales; Malvaceae.